This 75-nucleotide transfer RNA is filed under the name Actinomadura rugatobispora. RNAcentral's name for it is "tRNA-Met". It matches the Rfam family "tRNA". From Rfam's summary of the family: Transfer RNA (tRNA) molecules are approximately 80 nucleotides in length. Their secondary structure includes four short double-helical elements and three loops (D, anti-codon, and T loops). Further hydrogen bonds mediate the characteristic L-shaped molecular structure. tRNAs have two regions of fundamental functional importance: the anti-codon, which is responsible for specific mRNA codon recognition, and the 3' end, to which the tRNAs corresponding amino acid is attached (by aminoacyl-tRNA synthetases). tRNAs cope with the degeneracy of the genetic code in two manners: having more than one tRNA (with a specific anti-codon) for a particular amino acid; and 'wobble' base-pairing, i.e. permitting non-standard base-pairing at the 3rd anti-codon position. RNAcentral also lists the same sequence under 29 other names. Lineage: Bacteria; Bacillati; Actinomycetota; Actinomycetes; Streptosporangiales; Thermomonosporaceae. The record is from RNAcentral.
CGCGGGGUGGAGCAGUUCGGUAGCUCGCUGGGCUCAUAACCCAGAGGUCGCAGGUUCAAAUCCUGCCCCCGCUAC